Molecule: ribosomal RNA, 908 nt
Filed under: uncultured Bacteroidota bacterium
Lineage: Bacteria; Pseudomonadati; Bacteroidota
Description: bacterial SSU rRNA
Rfam family: Bacterial small subunit ribosomal RNA
Source: RNAcentral
GGAUCCAGACUUUGAUUCUGGCUCAGGAUAAACGCUGGCGGCGCACAUAAGACAUGCAAGUCGAACGGAAGUCGUUACAAAAGGAGAGAAGAUUUAUCGGAUUGAAUUUUAUAACAAUGGCUUUAGUGGCGGACUGGUGAGUAACGCGUAAGGAACCUACCUAUUAGAGGGGAACAACAAUGAGAAAUCAUUGCUAAUACCGCAUAUGCCAUAACUACCGCACGGUAGAAGUGGGAAAGGAGUAAUCCGCUGAUAGAUGGCCUUGCGUCUGAUUAGUUAGUUGGUGGGGUAACGGCCUACCAAGACGACGAUCAGUAGCCGGACUGAGAGGUUGAACGGCCACAUUGGGACUGAGAUACGGCCCAGACUCCUACGGGAGGCAGCAGUCGGGAAUAUUGCGCAAUGGAGGAAACUCUGACGCAGUGACGCCGCGUGCAGGAAGAAGGUUUUCGGAUUGUAAACUGCUUUAGACAGGGAAGAGAAAGGACAGUACCUGUAGAAUAAGCUCCGGCUAACUACGUGCCAGCAGCCGCGGUAAUACGUAGGGAGCGAGCGUUAUCCGGAUUUAUUGGGUGUAAAGGGUGCGUAGACGGGAAUACAAGUUAGUUGUGAAAUACCUCGGCUUAACUGAGGAACUGCAACUAAAACUAUAUUUCUUGAGUACAGGAGAGGUAAGUGGAAUUCCUAGUGUAGCGGUGAAAUGCGUAGAUAUUAGGAGGAACACCAGUGGCGAAGGCGACUUACUGGACUGAAACUGACGUUGAGGCACGAAAGUGUGGGGAGCAAACAGGAUUAGAUACCCUGGUAGUCCACACCGUAAACGAUGGAUACUAGGUGUAGGAGAUAUUAAGUCUUCUGUGCCGUCGCAAACGCAGUAAGUAUCCCACCUGGGGAGUACGGCCGCAAGG